This is a small nuclear RNA of Meriones unguiculatus (Mongolian gerbil), 104 nucleotides long. NCBI's taxonomy places the organism in Eukaryota, Metazoa, Chordata, Mammalia, Rodentia, Muridae. The record is from Ensembl.
AUGCUCACCUCUGUGGCAUAUAUACCAAAACUCAAACAAUACAUAUAUUAUCAUGGCCUCUGUGUAAGUAUGACACACAAAUUUAUAAAGUGUUAAAAGUUACG